CUUCUGUUACGAAGCUUCUUGGUUCUUAAACGUUUCAGAAAACGGCCGGUUGAACACAUAAAAGAUAGUUAUGAAUUAUAAGGAACUUAGCAAAAAAUUUGCUUUGUCUUACGUAAUGGGGAUGGCUAUUGGAUUCUCUGCUGUAGGCGCUCACAGUUUGCUAGGACAAGUCCGAUUCCGUGUUGCUCAGGCUAUUGGCUCUGGAUUUUUUAUGGGUACAGUUUUUGCUUUCGGAUCUUUUGUUCGUUGAG
This is a long non-coding RNA of Zophobas morio, 251 nucleotides long. RefSeq lists it as uncharacterized. Lineage: Eukaryota; Metazoa; Arthropoda; Insecta; Coleoptera; Tenebrionidae. The transcript has 4 exons. The record is from RefSeq and is a predicted model, not a curated record.